This 30-nucleotide non-coding RNA is filed under the name Homo sapiens (human). The record is from RNAcentral. Lineage: Eukaryota; Metazoa; Chordata; Mammalia; Primates; Hominidae.
UCAGGAAAGAGAAUGAGAAGGCAUGGAUGU